GACGAACGCUGGCGGCGUGCCUAACACAUGCAAGUCGAACGGAGAAUUUUAUUUCGGUAGAAUUCUUAGUGGCGAACGGGUGAGUAACGCGUAGGCAACCUACCCUUUAGACGGGGACAACAUUCCGAAAGGAGUGCUAAUACCGGAUGUGAUCAUCGUGCCGCAUGGCAGGAUGAAGAAAGAUGGCCUCUACAAGUAAGCUAUCGCUAAAGGAUGGGCCUGCGUCUGAUUAGCUAGUUGGUAGUGUAACGGACUACCAAGGCGAUGAUCAGUAGCCGGUCUGAGAGGAUGAACGGCCACAUUGGGACUGAGACACGGCCCAAACUCCUACGGGAGGCAGCAGUGGGGAAUCUUCCGCAAUGGACGAAAGUCUGACGGAGCAACGCCGCGUGAGUGAUGAAGGAUUUCGGUCUGUAAAGCUCUGUUGUUUAUGACGAACGUGCAGUGUGUGAACAAUGCAUUGCAAUGACGGUAGUAAACGAGGAAGCCACGGCUAACUACGUGCCAGCAGCCGCGGUAAUACGUAGGUGGCGAGCGUUGUCCGGAAUUAUUGGGCGUAAAGAGCAUGUAGGCGGCUUAAUAAGUCGAGCGUGAAAAUGCGGGGCUCAACCCCGUAUGGCGCUGGAAACUGUUAGGCUUGAGUGCAGGAGAGGAAAGGGGAAUUCCCAGUGUAGCGGUGAAAUGCGUAGAUAUUGGGAGGAACACCAGUGGCGAAGGCGCCUUUCUGGACCGUGUCUGACGCUGAGAUGCGAAAGCCAGGGUAGCGAACGGGAUUAGAUACCCCGGUAGUCCUGGCCGUAAAC
RNAcentral lists this ribosomal RNA (803 nucleotides) under uncultured bacterium. Its description in RNAcentral is "bacterial SSU rRNA". It matches the Rfam family "Bacterial small subunit ribosomal RNA", at positions 28 to 807 of the family's 1533-position model. The record is from RNAcentral.